This is a non-coding RNA of Dipodomys ordii (Ord's kangaroo rat), 65 nucleotides long. The record is from Rfam. Lineage: Eukaryota; Metazoa; Chordata; Mammalia; Rodentia; Heteromyidae.
GGUGGCUCAGUGGUAGAGUGCUUGCCUUCAAUGCAUGAGGCCCUGGGUUCAAUUCCUCAGCACCA